This 204-nucleotide unclassified non-coding RNA is filed under the name soil metagenome. RNAcentral describes it as "partial contains 5.8S ribosomal RNA, internal transcribed spacer 2, and large subunit ribosomal RNA". The record is from RNAcentral.
AACAAGGCGUACCUGCGGACCUGCGGAAGGAUCAUUACCGAGUUUACAACUCCCAAACCCCUGUGAACAUACCUAUACGUUGCCUCGGCGGAUCAGCCCGCGCCCUGUAAAAAGGGACGGCCCGCCCGAGGACCCUAAACUCUGUUUUUAGUGGAACUUCUGAGUAAAACAAACAAAUAAAUCAAAACUUUUAGCAACGGAUCU